UACGGAGGGUGCAAGCGUUAUCCGGAUUUACUGGGUUUAAAGGGUGCGUAGGCGGAUAGGUAAGUCAGUGGUGAAAUCUCCGAGCUUAACUCGGAAACUGCCGUUGAUACUAUUUAUCUUGAAUAUUGUGGAGGUAAGCGGAAUAUGUCAUGUAGCGGUGAAAUGCUUAGAUAUGACAUGGAACACCAAUUGCGAAGGCAGCUUACUACACAGUUAUUGACGCUGAGGCACGAAAGCGUGGGGAUCAAACAGG
RNAcentral lists this ribosomal RNA (253 nucleotides) under uncultured bacterium. Its description in RNAcentral is "partial 16S ribosomal RNA". It matches the Rfam family "Bacterial small subunit ribosomal RNA", at positions 524 to 776 of the family's 1533-position model. The record is from RNAcentral.